AAUUUUUGGUGACUGCGCUCCCUCUAAGCCAGUUACCCGGUACAUAAGUUGGUAGCUCAUGUACCUUCCAAAAACCACCGUUGGUAGCGGUGGUUUUUAUU
RNAcentral lists this non-coding RNA (101 nucleotides) under Klebsiella pneumoniae. The record is from RNAcentral. RNAcentral also lists the same sequence under 1 other name. Lineage: Bacteria; Pseudomonadati; Pseudomonadota; Gammaproteobacteria; Enterobacterales; Enterobacteriaceae.